AAUAUUGGACAAUGGGCGCAAGCCUGAUCCAGCCAUGCCGCGUGAAGGAUGAAGGCCCUAUGGGUCGUAAACUUCUUUUAUACGGGAAAAAACCCCCGAUUGCGAUCGGGGUUGAUGGUACUGUAAGAAUAAGGGUCGGCUAACU
RNAcentral lists this ribosomal RNA (145 nucleotides) under uncultured bacterium. RNAcentral's name for it is "partial 16S ribosomal RNA". It matches the Rfam family "Bacterial small subunit ribosomal RNA", at positions 360 to 502 of the family's 1533-position model. The record is from RNAcentral.